Long non-coding RNA from Orbicella faveolata, 410 nucleotides. The record is from RefSeq and is a predicted model, not a curated record. NCBI's taxonomy places the organism in Eukaryota, Metazoa, Cnidaria, Anthozoa, Scleractinia, Merulinidae.
UCAAAAACUAAGACUUAGGACCCCCUCAGAAUCUAAAAAUCUAAGACCUAAGACCCCCUCCAAGCAAGGAAUUUUUGGGUGGCAAAAAUUAAACCUGAUGUUGAUUUAAGUUUCAGAUUAAAGCAAACUCCUGCCCAAAGGUUCCUGACCAUGAAAUUCUGGGUGCCCAGCACUUAAGCUUAUAUGAAAAAGUAGUUUACAAACUGAUAGAUCUUGGCUAUGCAAAGGAACUGGAUCAAGGAAGUCUGGCUACCACUUUUGUCGGGACUCUAAAAUAUCUGGCCCCUGAACUGCUUGACAAGGUGCAAUACACAAAAACGGUGGAUUAUUGGAGUUUUGGCACACUCUUGUUUGAAUGCAUUACUGGAAUGCGGCCUUUUCUUACCGAACUAUCUCCAGUCCAGUGGUAU